AUGAAUGCUGACAUUUCAGGUAAAUCUCCACAAUUCACAGCCCAGAAUCAAAAUGAAAGUCCGAAGGUAAUGGUUCCCUUCAUGAACUCCAACGUAGAAGCGGAUCAUGCUGAAGUAAGAAAUUGGAAGGGUAAGAAGUCAUAUACCUUUUUGCAGGAUUUGAAUCUAUCUAGUAAGAAAAGACAAAUUAUUGGAGCUAUGUUUCAAGAUUCUGAGUCUUCACAGAAAAAGAAGAAACAAAAGAAAAAGAGGAACUUCAACUGA
Molecule: non-coding RNA, 264 nt
Organism: Vicia faba (fava bean)
Lineage: Eukaryota; Viridiplantae; Streptophyta; Magnoliopsida; Fabales; Fabaceae
Source: the annotation of a GenBank genome assembly